Molecule: ribosomal RNA, 483 nt
Filed under: uncultured bacterium
Lineage: Bacteria
Description: partial 16S ribosomal RNA
Rfam family: Bacterial small subunit ribosomal RNA
Source: RNAcentral
GACGAACGCUGGCGGCGUGCUUAACACAUGCAAGUCGAACGCUGAAGCUCAGCUUUUGUUGGGUGGAUGAGUGGCGAACGGGUGAGUAACACGUGAGUAACCUGCCUCCUUCUUUGGGAUAACGCCCGGAAACGGGUGCUAAUACUGGAUAUUCACUGGUCUUCGCAUGGGGGUUGGUGGAAAGGGUUUUUCUGGUGGGGGAUGGGCUCGCGGCCUAUCAGCUUGUUGGUGGGGUGAUGGCCUACCAAGGCUUUGACGGGUAGCCGGCCUGAGAGGGUGACCGGCCACAUUGGGACUGAGAUACGGCCCAGACUCCUACGGGAGGCAGCAGUGGGGAAUAUUGCACAAUGGGCGCAAGCCUGAUGCAGCGACGCCGCGUGAGGGAUGGAGGCCUUCGGGUUGUGAACCUCUUUCGCUCAUGGUCAAGCCGCAACAAUGGUUGUGGUGAGGGUAGUGGGUAAAGAAGCGCCGGCUAACUACGUG